GUGCCAGCAGCCGCGGUAAUACGGAGGGUCCGAGCGUUAUCCGGAAUCAUUGGGUUUAAAGGGUCCGUAGGCGGGCCAUUAAGUCAGGGGUGAAAGUCUGCAGCUCAACUGUAGAAUUGCCUUUGAUACUGGUGGUCUUGAGUCGUUGUGAAGUGGCCGGAACAUGUGGUGUAGCGGUGAAAUGCAUAGAUAUCACAUAGAACACCGAUUGCGAAGGCAGGUCACUAACAACGUACUGACGCUGAUGGACGAAAGCGUGGGUAGCGAACGGGAUUAGAUACCCCGGUAGUCCACGCCGUAAACGAUGGAUACUAGCUGUCGGGACUUCGGUCUCGGCGGCCAAGCGAAAGUGAUAAGUAUCCCACCUGGGGAGUACGUUCGCAAGAAUGAAACUCAAAGGAAUUGACGGGGACCCG
RNAcentral lists this ribosomal RNA (416 nucleotides) under Prymnesium polylepis. RNAcentral describes it as "partial Bacterial small subunit ribosomal RNA". It matches the Rfam family "Bacterial small subunit ribosomal RNA", at positions 505 to 923 of the family's 1533-position model. Lineage: Eukaryota; Haptophyta; Prymnesiales; Prymnesiaceae. The record is from RNAcentral.